GGAUUCCCCUAGUAACUGCGAGUGAAGCGGGAAAAGCUCAAAUUUAAAAUCUGGCAGUCUUUGGCUGUCCGAGUUGUAGUCUGGAGAAGCGUCUUCCGCGCUGGACCGUGUACAAGUCUCCUGGAACGGAGCGUCAUAGAGGGUGAGAAUCCCGUCUUUGACACGGACUACCAGUGCUUUGUGAUGCGCUCUCAAAGAGUCGAGUUGUUUGGGAAUGCAGCUCAAAAUGGGUGGUGAACUCCAUCUAAAGCUAAAUAUUGGCGAGAGACCGAUAGCGAACAAGUACCGUGAGGGAAAGAUGAAAAGCACUUUGGAAAGAGAGUUAAACAGUACGUGAAAUUGCUGAAAGGGAAACGCUUGAAGUCAGUCGCGUUUGCUAGAACUCAGCCUGGCUUUUGCUUGGUGCAUUUUCUAGUAAACGGGCCAGCAUCACUUUUGGUUGCGGGAUAAAGGUCGCAGGAAUGUGGCACCUUCGGGUGUGUUAUAGCCUGUGAUUGCAUACCGUGGCCGGGAGUGAGGAACUCAGCACGCAUUUGUUGUGCUUAGGAUGCUGGCGUAAUGGCUUUAAACGACCCGUCUUGAAACACGGACCAAGGAGUCUAACAUGCCUGCGAGUGUUUGGGUGGUAAACCCGAGCGCGUAAUGAAAGUGAAAGUUGGGACCUCUGUCGUGGAGGGCACCGACGCCCGGACCAGACCUUCUGUGACGGAUCCGCGGUAGAGCAUGUAUGUUGGGACCCGAAAGAUGGUGAACUAUGCCUGAAUAGGGUGAAGCCAGAGGAAACUCUGGUGGAGGCUCGUAGCGAUUCUGACGUGCAAAUCGAUCGUCAAAUUUGGGUAUAGGGGCGAAAGACUAAUCGAACCAUCUAGUAGCUGGUUCCUGC
This 883-nucleotide ribosomal RNA is filed under the name Phlebia sp. Its description in RNAcentral is "partial large subunit ribosomal RNA". It matches the Rfam family "Eukaryotic large subunit ribosomal RNA", at positions 72 to 961 of the family's 3401-position model. The record is from RNAcentral. Lineage: Eukaryota; Fungi; Basidiomycota; Agaricomycetes; Polyporales; Meruliaceae.